Molecule: ribosomal RNA, 245 nt
Filed under: uncultured bacterium
Lineage: Bacteria
Description: partial 16S ribosomal RNA
Rfam family: Bacterial small subunit ribosomal RNA
Source: RNAcentral
GGUGCCUACGGGGCGCAGCAGUGAGGAAUAUUGGUCAAUGGACGCAAGUCUGAACCAGCCAAGUAGCGUGCAGGAUGACGGCCCUCCGGGUUGUAAACCUCUUUUGUCGGGGAGCAAAGCGAACCACGUGUGGUUCAUUGAGAGUACCCGAAGAAAAAGCAUCGGCCAACUCCGUGCAAGCAGCCGCGGUAAUACGGAGGAUGCGAGCGUUAUCCGGAUUUAUUGGGUUUAAAGGGUGCGCAGGC